Molecule: non-coding RNA, 1148 nt
Organism: Bactrocera oleae (olive fruit fly)
Lineage: Eukaryota; Metazoa; Arthropoda; Insecta; Diptera; Tephritidae
Source: RefSeq, a predicted model, not a curated record
UGUUUUCAUAUUGUAUUUAACAGGCAAAACUUUCUACUGCUAACACCAACGUCUUAAUGAAAUUAGGUAAUAUGCAAAUGAGAACGAAUCAUGACUGGCAAAGUGGUGAAUGUCCUCAAAUUCUUCGACGCACGCGAUUUAACAAUUUCAAACGAUAAAACUUAACGCUAUACCGCUGUUCAAUAUAAUAUAACAUAUAUGUAUUGUAUAUACACAAAUAUGAAAUUGGAAUGCUCUAAUAAUCGGGUCCGGCCGAAUACUUACAAUAAGGAAAGUAGCACCCAAAAGUACAGCCUUCAUCCGCACAUCCAAGUCCAUCGGGAAGGUAAUACCAAAGAAAUCUGCAUCGGUGAAUAUUUCGCGUGCCAAACCAGACCACUGUUUUGAAAUUUUUCCCACAGGUUCACCGGUUAAAGAAACCACCUAUAUUGAUAAUGACAAAUAUGUAUUAGAUAAAGAAUUGCAGUUUCAAAUUUGAUAUUUUACCUUAAAUUCAACAUCACCACACAUUGAAAACGUGCAAACGGGUCCCUCGAUGCGUAACACAGUAUCGCCAAUAUGAUUUUUAAUACGAAAUGAAGGCGAACAGAUGGACCAUUCUUGCUCGAUGGAGCCAAUUAUAUUGCCCGGUGGUGCGGACACUUCCAUUGUUUGUAGGCAACAGGGAAAACAACAUGCCGAACAGGCUAAUGGGCGAUACAUAUGGAUGACUUCAUUGCGGAAAUUAUCAAAAACUUUCAUAUCAAAAGGACGUGCAGGGCCACACAUAUUACGUGUGCAGCAAUCAUUAUCUUCGACAGCGUAAUAGACUUUUUGACCGAGCGCAUUUUUUAUCGAGAAUUUAUUAUUGGUUUCGAAACCGGUGAAAGCUUCGAGUAAUUCGACUUUUUGUUUAACCAAAAGCUGGUCGACCAUCGUAAGGUACUCCAAGCCGCGUGGACAAUUCGGUAUUCCGGCGGGUAUACUCAUCCAGUCGCCUAAAAAUAAAACAAUUUUGAAAUUUUUUGAUAUUCUUCAAAGACAAUUAAAUACAACGGCAAUCGUUCAUUCGGACAUAUAAGGAUCUCCAUUCAUUUAAAGAUACAUUUCCCAAAAAUGUUUGAACAAUGUUAUAUACAGUUACAAUAAAAUUAAGGAUGUUUCACAAA